This 429-nucleotide ribosomal RNA is filed under the name Actinomycetes bacterium. RNAcentral describes it as "Actinobacteria bacterium partial 16S ribosomal RNA". It matches the Rfam family "Bacterial small subunit ribosomal RNA", at positions 355 to 776 of the family's 1533-position model. Lineage: Bacteria; Bacillati; Actinomycetota; Actinomycetes. The record is from RNAcentral.
UAGGGAAUCUUCCGCAAUGGGCGAAAGCCUGACGGAGCAACGCCGCGUGAGUGAUGAAGGUCUUCGGAUCGUAAAACUCUGUUAUUAGGGAAGAACAAAUGUGUAAGUAACUAUGCACGUCUUGACGGUACCUAAUCAGAAAGCCACGGCUAACUACGUGCCAGCAGCCGCGGUAAUACGUAGGUGGCAAGCGUUAUCCGGAAUUAUUGGGCGUAAAGCGCGCGUAGGCGGUUUUUUAAGUCUGAUGUGAAAGCCCACGGCUCAACCGUGGAGGGUCAUUGGAAACUGGAAAACUUGAGUGCAGAAGAGGAAAGUGGAAUUCCAUGUGUAGCGGUGAAAUGCGCAGAGAUAUGGCGGAACACCAGUGGCGAAGGCGACUUUCUGGUCUGUAACUGACGCUGAUGUGCGAAAGCGUGGGGAUCAAACAGG